CCGAGCCAAGUACAAACAUUGUCUUCUAAAACACUUAUGCUAUAAUAAAUUCGAAAUAAUUAUACAAAUUUAUAUUAUAUAAAUUUAAUAUUUAUACAAAAUAUUAGAGUCUUCGUUAGGAUUAAUCCAACCAAACUGAAAAAAACAAUCAAAUUAAACCAAUUCAAUUAGUUUAAAUUUUUUUCUUAAUUAAAUCUAAC
This 200-nucleotide long non-coding RNA is filed under the name Vigna radiata. RNAcentral describes it as "long non-coding RNA (VRAD_LNC002526)". The record is from RNAcentral. Lineage: Eukaryota; Viridiplantae; Streptophyta; Magnoliopsida; Fabales; Fabaceae.